Small nucleolar RNA from Setaria italica (foxtail millet), 89 nucleotides. It matches the Rfam family "Small nucleolar RNA snoR1". From Rfam's summary of the family: snoR1 is a member of the C/D class of snoRNA which contain the C (UGAUGA) and D (CUGA) box motifs. Most of the members of the box C/D family function in directing site-specific 2'-O-methylation of substrate RNAs. NCBI's taxonomy places the organism in Eukaryota, Viridiplantae, Streptophyta, Magnoliopsida, Poales, Poaceae. The record is from Rfam.
UGCUGUGAUGAGUUCUUGCUUAUUUCUGACACCUCUUGUAUGAGAAGGGAUCAGUCCCUUCCUUGAGCAGAUUAGCAACUCUCUGAGCU